This is a long non-coding RNA of Anguilla anguilla (European eel), 379 nucleotides long. RefSeq lists it as uncharacterized. The record is from RefSeq and is a predicted model, not a curated record. Lineage: Eukaryota; Metazoa; Chordata; Actinopteri; Anguilliformes; Anguillidae. The transcript is spliced from 2 exons.
CCGGUAUGCCAUAUGUGUUUGAGCCGGAGUCAUAUCUCAAAUUUAUAGCCAUGGAGGAAAACCAGGACCCCAGUUCAAGAAUCAAAGGUCCUGCAGAAGCUGUCCGAAUGGUGUGGAAACACAGCCGUCGGAUUAAUCUCCCCUUGUUGAGUCACAAAGCCGCUGAAAGCUGUCUGCCCGGGACCGGAGUGCUCAUUGAAAAGCAGAAGAGCAUACGAAAGGGAAGACGACCGUGAGGACGCCAGGCGAUCCCAAACGUCAGGAAAUGCCUCAUUCUUCAAGCACCGUCGCAUCCCUCUGAAACAACCAGAAAAAAGUCUAACAAAGACUUGAAUACACAACCCUUGAACUUUGAGCUUUGACCUGUUUUUUUUUAGUU